UCCGUUGUAGUCUAGCUGGUUAGGAUCCUCGGCUCUAAUCCGAGAGACCCAGGUUCGAGUCCCGGCAACGGAA
This 73-nucleotide transfer RNA is filed under the name Zea mays. Its description in RNAcentral is "tRNA-Sup (CTA) (tRNA-Sup-CTA-1-1)". It matches the Rfam family "tRNA". Rfam says of the family: Transfer RNA (tRNA) molecules are approximately 80 nucleotides in length. Their secondary structure includes four short double-helical elements and three loops (D, anti-codon, and T loops). Further hydrogen bonds mediate the characteristic L-shaped molecular structure. tRNAs have two regions of fundamental functional importance: the anti-codon, which is responsible for specific mRNA codon recognition, and the 3' end, to which the tRNAs corresponding amino acid is attached (by aminoacyl-tRNA synthetases). tRNAs cope with the degeneracy of the genetic code in two manners: having more than one tRNA (with a specific anti-codon) for a particular amino acid; and 'wobble' base-pairing, i.e. permitting non-standard base-pairing at the 3rd anti-codon position. Lineage: Eukaryota; Viridiplantae; Streptophyta; Magnoliopsida; Poales; Poaceae. The record is from Rfam by way of RNAcentral.